Nerophis lumbriciformis (worm pipefish) is the source of this 805-nucleotide long non-coding RNA. RefSeq lists it as uncharacterized. NCBI's taxonomy places the organism in Eukaryota, Metazoa, Chordata, Actinopteri, Syngnathiformes, Syngnathidae. The record is from RefSeq and is a predicted model, not a curated record.
AGUCCUGCUCUUUGGAUAAUUUUUGCAUUUCUGGGUGUUUUUAUAUUUUUGCCUGACUUCAAAUGUUAUAUUUUUACCUGUGGUAGACUGUUCAUACCACACUGGUGCUGCCUGCUUUUGCUGCUUCGAAAUCAAUUGAAUUAGCAUUUUACUUGCACCUCGUCUCCUGUCUCUGCCUCCUGGGCUCACGUCAACAACAGCCACACGAGUUCCUCACAGGAUCGAUACCAAAAUCCCCAGCAAAUACAUUUGCGGUACCGCUUUUUUUGUGAUUGUUGAUGUGACGGUUCAAACACCUGCCGCCACACACUGCGCUGCGCUCCGCUGAGCGCCCUUCUGGACACGCCCACGGGCGUUCUUCUCCUGCCGCGCAGCGCCACGCACUCUGUAAUCGUCACACCUGACGCUGAUGAAGACUCCACUGCCUUCUUAAGCCAGCACGUCCUGCGUUCCAGUGCCAGAACGUAGCUACUUGUACCUGUUCACUCCUCUUCAUUCCCUGGUUUUGAGUUGUGUGUCUCGUCUCCCUGGAUUCCCUCUGGACUUCUUGCUGCCUCCCUGGAUCUCGACCUUUCGCCUGCCUCCGGACUAUGACGCCUUGCUCCAGCCCUUGACCUCUUGCCUGCCCACGGACCUCCGAGCCUGCCUUGCCCUCUCUGGACUUCCGCAUCUUUCACAACACGCACCAUCAACACCUUCCGGUAACACUCACCAAGUAAUCGCUUCACAUAGUCACACACCACGUAUUUGAGUUAAUUACACACGUCACUCUCUUGUGUUAAUAAACACGCAGCAAGCUCAACGA